Non-coding RNA from Odocoileus virginianus texanus, 304 nucleotides. Lineage: Eukaryota; Metazoa; Chordata; Mammalia; Artiodactyla; Cervidae. The record is from RefSeq and is a predicted model, not a curated record.
GGGAGACACUGCAGUUAAAAACAUUUUUAGAAUUUAUUUUUUUUUUAAUGAGAGCUUUUAAAAUGUUACAAGUGAGACUCAUCCCAUGGGGGAAAAAUUUAAAUGAAAAAAUAUCUACAGUAAGGAGAUAAAAGAUGCCCCAACCCUGCUUCCACUCCUGAUUCUGGACCCUCAAGUCUAACCAGGGAGAUGACACACACUUCAUAAAACCUGGGGAUAUUGUGCAAUCAAAUUUCAGAAGUGGCAGCAGUUCACAGUGGACGGAUCGACAACUACUGAGCCCUAGCGCUGCAACUACUGAAGC